GGAAAGAGGGCGGAGGAGAGGCACCCCUCGGUGCUGUUUGAUGGUGCAGUGUGCUUCUCAGCCUCCGUCAGAGGCCACGGGCCCCAGCCCUUUAACCCUUUCCUGCCUGUCACCCUCCCCCACCGCGCUGGGGCUUUCCAUUUCCCCAGCCGCUCCGGGAGGAGACUUUCCUCCCCACCGCCCGGGCCUGGCGCCGGGGAGAAGGACCGCAGGGACAGAGGCGGCGGGGCGGCAGCCGCCACCCAGCAGGAAGGAGAAAGGAUGCUCCGAGUUCCCAAGUGGCGGUGACGGGCCCAGAGUCCCAGCCACAGAGAGGUCGGGACCUGAGGCUGGGCGGCGGUGGCGGCCAACGGGUGCCCUUUGGGCAUCUGCAGUCCACCGGAGUAGGGAAGUCCAGGUCUUGGCCCACAGUCAACCCAGCAGGUUGGGCAAGUUAACCAAGUGGAGCGCUGCCUGGGAAGACGGAGUUCCCACACCCCGAGCCCCAGGGGCGUCCAGACCCAGGCCUAGCUGCUCCAGGAGUUGGGUCUGACUCAUCUUCCCAGUGAGCCUGCAGAGGCCCAGGAGCAAACACUGGAACCCAGGGUAUGUCUUCCAGGGUGACCUUGAGCACAGCCCACAUCCCUUCUCGGUUUUUUCAUCCCAGGUUAGUAACGUUUACUCCGUUGGUUGUAUCGAUGACUUGGAAAAAUGGGUGUGGAAAUGCUAGGGAAACUGGAAAGAAAGUGCUUUACAGACUUCGAAGGCACUGAGGCCCACACACCUUUAGAAAUUUGCCCGUGACCUUCAGAGACUGCUGGGGCUGGAACCCAGGUGUGCCACCUUCCCAGUCCGGACACCCAAAGUCCCAGGAGACUGGAGAGGUCUGCACUGUUCUGGUCAACUCCGAGAUGGCGGUUGGGUAAGAAAUGGUUAAAACCAGGAAAUUCCAUGUUUCUAGAGAAUGUUGGAGGGACUUUCCCAUGGCAACACCUGGUGGUUUCCUCUGGCAGCCCCACCCCUAGCACAGUGACACCAGAGGGGGAGCCCGGCUGAGAACUGGUGCUCAGGCAGAUACACCUGCUGAUAACCGGCAGCCCGAGGCAUUGCUGCGGGGCCAGCCCCGGGCGCUGCCCUGCUGCCUCUCACAGCAGGGCCAGGAAGAACCUUCCUGGACCCUUGGCUCUCCACCCAGGAUUCCCAGCUUUCCACCCGCCUGGCAGUGGGAGAAUUGCACUUCCUUGGCACCCUCUGCUGAGGCGGGGCCAACCAAAGCCCUUCGGUGCUGUUACAAGACCUCACCCCAGGGCGCCUGCCCUCUGACCCUGUGAUUCUGUUAGACUUGGUGACUGCUUCGUCAGGGUCCCCACGUGACUGUCAUCAGCAGAGCCCCCUGCUGGCCCACAAGGGACAUGUACCUUUGAUGAGAAACCGACCUUUGUUGUUUUAAGCCAGAGGUUUGCAACAGAACCCAGCCUAUCCCUAAAAGUCUCGUUUUUCCCUGAUGAACUUUGCGUCCUUACCAGCACUCCCUACUUUUCUCUCUCCAGCAAGCCCAGUCUGUCUUUCCCAGGGUCUUAGGUACCCUCAAAACACAGUGAAGGUGUGUCUAGCAGCUGCUGGGAAGCCCGCACUGGGUGCUGAGGACACAAGGCUCCAUCUCACAGGUCACCACCUACACUCAGGAGUGGAGAACUCACCCAUAGCUCAGAGUGGCAGGACAGCCUCACCUUUGACUUCUCCAGGACCAAGGGACCAGCAAGAGAAGCUCAAGAUGGAGCUCUACUAUUAAAAUGAAGGAGGGGGAAGAGAUGACAGGUUGGGAGGGCAUGAGCCAGAUGGAGGUGAUGGACUUUUUUGAGUGUGGUGUCUGGUCCAGGGCUCAGGGUACGAUUCCUCAUAUUACCAUUGAACACUGGGCAUCCCCUUGGAUAUGAGAGAUCUGAUCCCUCCCCAGGGGCUUCUGGUAUUGGAAGAAACCCAG
This is a non-coding RNA of Callorhinus ursinus (northern fur seal), 1963 nucleotides long. Lineage: Eukaryota; Metazoa; Chordata; Mammalia; Carnivora; Otariidae. The record is from RefSeq and is a predicted model, not a curated record.